UUUAUCUCUACCAAUUCGCGCUCACAUUUUCUCUCUCAAGUUAACCUACUCACGCUAUCCGGUUCCUUACUCCACCGCAUCUCCACCGUUUUCCACCGGAUCUCCGUGGUUCCUCACCAGGUGAACCGAUUACAAUAAAGUUUGGUUAGGUGAUGGUUCGUCUUUGGUUGUGAUAAGUGGCAAGAAUGGGCUGGUUUGGCGUUUUCGAAUCUAUGGUGGUGUUUGGUGGCAUAUUUCCCGAAGGGCAGUUUGGGAUGAAGGCAACAGUGGGAAUGAGCAGGUCAAUUGUGGUCAAAGUUGGCUAGAGGGUCUUUUACGACCAUCGAGACCAUCAAAAAGAUUUUGAACGGAGAAGAAUUAGGUUGCUUGCUUUGUACUUGGCUAUUAUUGUCCACUGGUGCGGAUGGCAUUAUCAAGUCAUCAAAGUCGAUUGCGCAUGGAAAGGACCUGCAAAAACUAAAAAGUUUAAGGUCCAACACGCUGGAGCUUGAGGUUCCUAUGUCUACCGCGGCUAAGCUGCUUUUAAAGCUGGAUAGUAUGGUGGAAAUUACUGAAAGACAAAACAUAAAAUACACAAGGGAUUAAGAAGAUGGAGAGACAUCAAAAAGUAAUGGUAGGGAGAUUUCCUAGAUUCUUUGAGAUGUCACAACUAUAUCUACCAAACCCGCUUCUUCUUGAGCUAAUUCUUAAUGUCUUCCGAAAUGCCUUUCAAGAACAAUUACCCUCUCAUGCCCCAUGAGAUGUGCACGAUACGAAAGUCUUGAUGUGGAGUGGAAGGGUUAUAACUUUCAUGAUAGCAACAAAUUUGUUGUACUUUGUAUUUAGUUAAACAUUUAUAUGGUUUUGAAAUUGCAAUUGUUAUUUUUUAUGUUCAGGUACAUUUGUUUGUCUAUACAGUAAAGCCAUUUCACAUGCCAAGCCAAUGUAACCGACAUUGAAAGAGCUUGGUGUUGGGAAUUUCGGAGUCGCAAGGUUGAUUUGCUGGGAAAGCCACUGGUUUUUCAACCCACCGAUUUUUUAAGUAGACCAUUGGGUUGAAUAUAGUGAAUUGGCUAAUGCGGCGACACUAAGGAGUAAAUGCAGGGAACAACUAUGAAGUGGGGAAUAGAUCGCUAAGAAAGAGUUAACACAAUGAAUAUUUUACUCGAAUGAAGAUUGUGAAAGAGAUUAAUGAACGCAAUGGAGUUUUGAGUUUUUGUUCAAACAUUUU
Long non-coding RNA from Helianthus annuus (common sunflower), 1210 nucleotides. RefSeq lists it as uncharacterized. The transcript has 6 exons. NCBI's taxonomy places the organism in Eukaryota, Viridiplantae, Streptophyta, Magnoliopsida, Asterales, Asteraceae. The record is from RefSeq and is a predicted model, not a curated record.